RNAcentral lists this ribosomal RNA (253 nucleotides) under uncultured bacterium. RNAcentral describes it as "partial 16S ribosomal RNA". It matches the Rfam family "Bacterial small subunit ribosomal RNA", at positions 524 to 776 of the family's 1533-position model. The record is from RNAcentral.
UACAGAGACUGCAAGCGUUAUUCGGAUUCACUGGGCGUAAAGGGUGCGCAGGCGGCCAUGUGUGUUAGGCGUGAAAGCCCGGGGCUUAACCCCGGAAUUGCACCUAAAACUACGUGGCUAGAGCAUUGGAGAGGGUAGCGGAAUUCACGGUGUAGCAGUGAAAUGCGUAGAUAUCGUGAGGAACACCAGAGGCGAAGGCGGCUACCUGGACAAUUGCUGACGCUCAGGCACGAAAGCGUGGGGAGCAAAAAGG